RNAcentral lists this ribosomal RNA (97 nucleotides) under uncultured Thelephorales. RNAcentral describes it as "partial 28S ribosomal RNA". It matches the Rfam family "Eukaryotic large subunit ribosomal RNA", at positions 1 to 95 of the family's 3401-position model. The record is from RNAcentral. Lineage: Eukaryota; Fungi; Basidiomycota; Agaricomycetes; Thelephorales.
UUUGACCUCAAAUCAGGUAGGACUACCCGCUGAACUUAAGCAUAUCAAUAAGCGGAGGAAAAGAAACUAACAAGGAUUCCCCUAGUAACUGCGAGUG